Molecule: long non-coding RNA, 2877 nt
Organism: Equus caballus (horse)
Lineage: Eukaryota; Metazoa; Chordata; Mammalia; Perissodactyla; Equidae
Source: Ensembl
AUACUAUUGAAAGUACUAAAUAUUUGAAUACAUUUAAAAUGUUUGUGGAUUCAUGGCAAAACUUCACAAAUAAUUGAUUUUAUUUUGUGGAUGGGUUGUACCUAAGCUCUAGUCUUCAAAGUCUUUCGUUUACAGUAUUAUACAUUUUUUUUUUGCUUGUUGAUCCAUCUCCUCAUUCAACAUUCAUUGCACUUUUUCUUUUUCGCUAAAAUUCCUUUCUUCAUUAAGAGAGGCGUCAGUUUCCAGACACUAGGAUGCAUAUUUGUAUCUGAGCUUUGUAUUGCAUUGUGGAAAGCCAUCUACACUAUUGUUUGUUCCUGGCAUAUUGUCACUUGUCCACUGAGAGAUGUUCCAAACUUCUAUAGGAAACGUGGGUUCGACUCUGUGCCACUGUAUAUGGAGCUGAGAUCUAUAUAAUAUAAAAAUGGGAGUACUGCAUCAAUGGAGAAAUUAGACCAAACUGUCAACCAGUUAUUUUAUCUUUUAUAACAAAAUUACCUUAUGGCCAAUUGGUUAUGUGGUGAAAAUGUUUGCAGCAAAAAUGCUUGCAGCAAAGAUAUCUGUGGGGAAAGAGGCUUACAGGGAAAAUACCAGACAUGCUGGAGGGCACCCGCCCUGCCUGGGGAGCACACCUCCUGUUCCCCCUACUCUGAGUGUGGGAAUGAUGGCCCAAGGUUGGCAUGUCUGAUUUUUCAAAUGAAGCUGGAGAGUCAGGUUUUUACUUCAAACCUCUUAGUUUUCAAAUAUUGGCCAUGGUUUUAAUCAGCAGCAGCAUCAUCACUGUGCAGGCCAACUCUCCAGGUGACCCCCAGUGUGCCAGGCUGCACGUGACCCACAGCUCACUGCAUUGCAGCCUGGUUCUGAGCAGCUUGCCAGCCGGCGAGAGUAUUUGGUGCUGGCAACAAGAGAGACCAGUUACUGGGGCUUGCACCAAUUAGGGACUGAUUUCUUGACAUUAAAAAAAGCCCAGAGUGGGUAGUCCAGGACUGGUAUGUUGAGCCCCUGAAUGGGUUCACCAAGCACCCAUGCACCUUUGUUUUUCAAGAGAACAUGAAAUUUCAGUCAUUGCUCAAAUACUAAUGUUUGCUUCAUUGAUAUCAAAAUUUUACCUAAGCCCUGUUUCCAUGCCUUUCUGUGUUCCCGUGAAGUUUUUUUUCAAUGUUGAACCAUAGCAUAAUUUUAGGAGGACAUUAUAAACAAUUAAACUCCACAUGUAGGCACCAUUAGCACUCACAGCACAACUGAAGUAAGGCAGCUUGAACACCUACGACCACGGGUGCUCACAUUCAGCCAGUGACAACUCUGCAGUGACUGCUGCCUGGUUGACAUCAACUCCAAGAUGCAUCCUGACUUUAGAGAUGCGAUACUGUGAAAAAAGAAUUUGUCUUAGAAUCAACAAAAUGUGUUUUAUUUGGGGUCGACUCUGGGGAUGAAAUCUACUCUGAGACCCUGGGUGCUGGACCCCAUCCCUGCCACCCACUCCAUCUUUUCCUGCUUUGGUUUCCUUCCCUAGACUGUCUUUCAAUUCUAUUCCAAGUGGGCCAGUCCAGUUCCUGGUUUCAGCUGGAUCCUUGGUAUCUGCAGUGAGGACGCAAGGAAAGAACAAAGCUUUCCCCAAAGGCUCAAAUCCCAGCUUUGCCACUCAGAGCUGUGUGACCCUGGACCAGUUGCCUGACAUUGGCGAAAAUCAUUUCCCUCAUUUGCAAAAUGGUAAUAGUUGUACCUUGCUCCUGGGGUUAGUGUGCAGAUUAAUUUAAAUAUAUGUAACAUUCCUAACACUGUACUUGACAUAACAGUGGCUUAAUAAAUGUUGGCUUUGUUUUCCUUUUUGCUUUACAGACCUCACUCAACUACCCAUUUUCUAUUUCCUUUACUCACUGGGGAAAAGCCCAACAACUUACAACACAUGGAUUGUGCUCUCACUGAUCUGGGCUCCUUGGAGGUUUAUCUUUUAUCUUAAGUUAUAUCUCAGAGGGACAUCAGCAUCAUGGUGGAGUGAGUUCUUCCCUUAGUCUCUCCCUUCUAAGUUACAACUAGACCUUCAUUAAUUAGCAGAAGAUUCCCUGCACAGCACAACAGGACAUCUGAGAGAUCCAUGCAGCUGUGCAUCUGAAGGUGGGUGGACUGGAUCCCCAGGAGGCAGUGGAACUAGGUAACAUUGUGAAACAUCACCAGGCACUUAUUCCAUACAAUGAGUGGUUAUUAGACCCCUUCUUGAGAGAAGAUCUAAAGAAAUGGAAGACCCAGAGGACACUGGAAAAUUGAAAGUGGAAGGAUGACUGAGGAAGAAGUAGGGUGGGCAUCUGGAAAGUUGCCCAGGAAGGUCACCUACUCACCUAGAAAAUUUCACGGUUGGCUUCUGUCCAAGGUGGCAGGCGCAGGUGGUCUCAUUGGCAGAUUUCUGUUUCUUAAUACAUUAAAUCCCCCCUUCUCUUCUUAUAGUAUUUCUUCCUUCCUGCUAUCCUUAAGGAUAGAUUUUGUUCUUUUUCCAAUUUCUUGAAGUGACCACUCUGUUCUUUAUUUUUCAAAUGCUAUGCAUUGACCUUUGAGAACAACUGUGUCUGCAUCCCACCUGCUUUGAUACAGAUUAUCCUCUCAUUUUUUUCUAAACACUGUGUAAUUGUAGCUUUCGGUUUGUUUUUUUCUCUCUUUCUUUGUUUCUUCCUUUGUUUCUUUAUUUUCAUACCUUCAUAUUGCUAUGGUCUUUUUCCUCCCACACUGAAGCUCUGGGAAUAUCACGGAAAACAAAAAAGGGAGCACCCUGACCCUACCCAAGGCACAAGACCCAUAUCACUGUCCCCAGACAGUCAAAUCACCAGAGGCUGCAUAUUAGAUAAAAUGAACAUCCUGUGACCACACCCAUCUAUCACUGAGCCG